This 2352-nucleotide ribosomal RNA is filed under the name Triticum aestivum (bread wheat). RNAcentral's name for it is "partial small subunit ribosomal RNA". The record is from RNAcentral. Lineage: Eukaryota; Viridiplantae; Streptophyta; Magnoliopsida; Poales; Poaceae.
AUGCUCCACCGGCGGCACCCCCUCCCCGCCCUGCUCCGCCUCUUCUCCACCACCUGCCGCCGCCGCUCCCGCCUUCCCUCGCAGCCGCAUCCCCCGAACACCGACACCCUCCCGCCGCUGCCUGUGGCGAAGAAAGUCCCCUUCACCGUGUCGGCGCACGGGAGGUCGUGGAGCGACCCCUACCACUGGAUGCGCGACACCUCCGACCCCGACCUCGCCGCCCUCCUCGCCGCCGAGAACGCCUACGCAGAAGCCUUCGUCUCCUCGGCCGGCGGAGGCGGCCUCCGCGCGCGCCUCGCUGCCGAGAUGCGCGCCCGGCUGCCCCCUUCCGCCGUUUCCCCGCCUCAGCCCUGGGGCCCUUGGUCAUAUUACCAGUACGUGCCAAACGGAAUGGAGUACCCAGUUUUGUCGAGAAAGCUGAGGCCCUCUGGUGGUUUAGCAGGACGUUUCCUUAGUUAUCUUUCUGACUGGGAGAAGGAAGAAGUGUUGCUUGACUGGAAUGAGAUCGCAGAGAAAUUUGGUUAUGUUCACAUUGGGAGUUGUCGAAUAUCUCCUGAUCAUAGGUUUCUUGCAUAUACUCUCGAUACAUCUGGGGGUGAACUGUUUUCGCUGGAAGUGAAAGAUCUUCAGUCUAAGCAUGUCAUUUUUAGUCCGCCAGACAAGGGAAUUGUCAGUUUAGCAUGGGCUCACGACAGUGAAAAUUUAUUUUAUACUGUCUGUGAUGAGACUCUACGUCCCAAUCAGGUUUUCUGUAAAAAGAUGCAGUCAAAUGAGGCCGGCCUUUUAGUUUUCGUGGAGGAUGAUGUAAACUGUUGUGUGGAUAUCACAAGCACAAAAGAUUUCAAGUAUAUCACUGUGAAUUCUAACACAAGGACAUCAUCUGAGGUUUAUGUGAUGGAAUCUGGUAAUGUAAGAGAAGGCUUAUGGCCUGUACAAAAACGCACCAACAAAGUACAGUACUUUUUGGAGCAUCAUAAUGGGUUUUUCUAUAUUCUUACUAAUGCACCCUUGAAAGAUACUGAAACUGCAGUUGAAGGCUACUACCUGGCCAGGUGUAGAGCUGAAAAAUCACUGAUGGAUAAAUGGCAGGUUGUGGCACUCCCUGGGUCGGACUGCACAUUUCAGGAUAUGGAUAUUUUUCACGAACAUUUAGUUCUCUUUCUUCAAAAAGAUGGGCUUCCUCUGUUUUGCUCCAUCGAUUUGCCAGUCCAGAUCGACUUUCAGGAGCCAAAGGAAUUGGGUGAUUUCACUCCAUGGUUUUUCCCAAUACCUUCAAAUUUAUGCAGCAUUCUUCCUGGGCCCAACAAUGAUUUCAUGUCAUCUACUUUUCGUCUGGUGGUGUCAUCACCAGUGAUUCCAGACUUAACUGUGGAUUAUGACAUGAGAAAGAAGACAUUUACUAUCCUUGAUCAAGAGGAAGUGACUGGCCUUUGUUCAAGUCUAUACACAGUAGGACAAUCCAAUGUUUCAAGCAUCCAACAAAAUCUGCAGCUUAUUGAAGAUUCACAAAGUUGGAGUGAUCUUUCCAAGUUAGUAUCUUGUGAGAGGGUCCAAGUUGUUUCACAUGAUGGUGUCUCGAUACCUUUAGUGAUCUUGUAUUCACGGGGAGCUCAUAUUCAUGGAGAAUCGCCUGGGAUCUUAUAUGGAUAUGGAGCUUAUGGAGAAGAUCUGGAUAAAAGCUGGUGUUCUGACAGGCUUAGUCUGCUUGCUCGAGGUUGGGUUCUUGCAUUUGCUGAUGUUAGGGGUGGAGGGGAUCCAUCAUGGCAUCUAGCAGGCACCAAAACCAACAAGAUAAAUUCAAUUCAAGAUUUUGCGGCAUGUGGUAUGCAUCUUAUCAAGGAAGGUUUUGUGCAUGAAAGUCGUCUUUGUGCUAUGGGCUGCAGUGCUGGUGGUUUGCUGGUUGGGGCGGUCGUUAAUAUGUUGCCAAAUUUAUUCUCUGCUGCAGUUCUCAAGGUCCCCUUUCUUGAUAUAUGCAAUACAAUGUUGGAUCCUACGUUACCUCUCACCAUCUUGGACUACGAAGAAUUUGGUGACCCUAAUAUCCCAGUUGAAUUUGAUGCAAUCCGUAGUUAUUCUCCCUAUGACAACUUAUCUCCCGGCAAAUGUUACCCCUCAAUUCUGGUGACUGCCUCUUUUAAUGAUACAAGGGUAGGAGUCUGGGAAGCUGCUAAGUGGGUUUCAAAAGUGAGAGAUGUCACGUGCCCAUCCUGUUCCAAGUCUGUUGUUCUCAAAACUAAUAUGCAGAGUGGCCAUUUUGGUGAGGGUGGACGCUUCAUGCGGUGCGAGGAGACAGCCUUCGAGUAUGCGUUUCUAAUGAAGGCAUUGGGAAUGGAUGAUAAGUCUGCGAAGUAA